RNAcentral lists this ribosomal RNA (836 nucleotides) under Peridinium bipes. RNAcentral's name for it is "LSU rRNA". It matches the Rfam family "Eukaryotic large subunit ribosomal RNA", at positions 76 to 918 of the family's 3401-position model. Lineage: Eukaryota; Dinophyceae; Peridiniales; Peridiniaceae. The record is from RNAcentral.
UCCCUCAGUAAUGGCGAAUGAACAGGGGCAUGCUCAGCAUGAAAAUCGGGGCCGGUGAGCCUGAGUUGUAGUCUCGGGAGGUACUGCCAACAGAGGCGCUGCUGUACGUCUUUUGGAAAUGAGUAUCAGUGAAGGUGAGGGUCCUGCUUGUCAGUGGCAGCCCCCUGUUCACGGCGUACAUUCUAAGAGUCACGUUCCUUGGGAUUGGAGCGCAAUGGGUGGUAAGCUUCAUCUAAAGCUACACAUGGGCUCAAGACCAAUAGCAAACAAGUACCAUGAGGGAAAGGUGAAAAGGACUUUGAAAAGAAAGGUAACAGUGCUUGAAAUCGCUGAAAAGAAAGUGAGCGAAACCAGCGUGUCUUGGUGAGAUUGCUGUGCUCAGGUGCCAUUGCUUACUGCGCCAGCACGCGUGUAGCAGUAAGUCUUGCGCAGGCUGCGUGUGGUGCGUUUUGCCUUGCCUGUCAACGUCUCCUAUGUUUGAGGAAGACUGCAAGGACAUGGCAGCUCCCCCCAAGGGGGUGAAUAUCUUUGUAUGUACUUAUGCGAGGGGUGCUCGGGAGUAAAUGGCAGCGCUCGACCCGUCUUGAAACACGGACCAAGGAGUCUAACCUGUACGCAAGUUUGAGGGCGGAGAAGGCCUGUGUGCGCAAUGAAAGUGACUGCUGGGAUUUUUUGCACCAGCCACCGACCUAUCAAUUGAGAGAGGUUUGAGUGCGAGCAUAUUUGUUAGGACCCGAAAGAUGGUGAACUACGCCUGUGAAGGGCAAGCUCAGGGGAAACUCUGAUGGAGGCUCAUAGCGAUACUGACGUGCAAAUCGUUCGUCAUACAUGGGUAU